GCAAAAAGUAGCUUACCACAAAGCACCCGACUUACAAACGGAGGACGUCCUACACACCUUUUUGA
Molecule: transfer RNA, 65 nt
Filed under: Phrynocephalus vlangalii pylzowi
Lineage: Eukaryota; Metazoa; Chordata; Lepidosauria; Squamata; Agamidae
Also listed under: 1 other name
Description: tRNA-Val
Source: RNAcentral